GCUUUUAUAGAUUUGGGAUUUGACUUGAGAUCCAAGUAAACAUAAAUCUAUAAAUAGAGGGAGUAACCCUUAUUCUUGUAAUGAAGUGAAUAGAGUAUUCAUAAUAUUGUAAUUCACAGCAUUUUGCAGUUGCAAAGUGAAUAAGAAGUUUUCCACAGUUUGUGAGCAGAGAGAAACUCUAUAGAAUUUAAUUUUUCUUCUCCUUCAUCGUUCUUUACACUCUUUCUUUCUCCAUUUUUCUUCUCUUUUCAUUGUUUUUGUGUGGGUGAUAACAAUCUUGUUCAUCAAGAUUGACUGAAAUUCUUCAUAGAUUGUGGGGGAUUUCCAACAACCAAGACAUUUUAUUUCUGGUACAUAGAACAUUGUCAACCAAUGAAAUGACUUUAUGAAAUAAAGAUAUAAAAGGCGAUAACACAUAAAUUAUUUAUCCACUUCAAUCAAAUUGAUCUACUUUGGUGGAAAGAGACGUUCUCCAAUUCAUUAUACUUCAUUGUUGUUAUAAGAGAUUAUAAGAUGUUACAAUAAGAUAGUCUUCAAAGUUCUCAAUAAGAAAUCAUAUUUUCUACUCAAGUGUUUCUCAAUCUCUGCAACUCUCAAUAUAAGAAUCUCACAAAUCCAACGUAUUUAAAGUGUUUCUCAAACUCCUUUGAUAAUUUCAAAGGUUGUCAAACUCUAAGAAUAAAAUCAUAGGAAUUUCUACCCUUCCUUCUGGCUAGAAUUUCUACACCUUAUGUAACUCCUAUUAAAAUGAGAGAAAACUAUAUUCAUAACUGCUAAAACCCUAAAGAUCCAAAUCAGACCCACAACAAGAUCCUAUCAAUUAAAUAGAUUAGAGCAUCAAACUAAUCCGUCCUGAUACCAGCCGACCACUGCCCACCUGUCAACUACCUAAUUGUCAUACCUAUGCAUUUCCGUUUUGCCAAUGCAAAUCUACCGUAUCCGCCUCCUGACUCCGCCACCGAGCUCGUAAAAAAAAUGACAAUACUAAAAUAUUUUUUUCUCAUUUCUCAUUUGAGGUAUUAAGACAUAUUACAAUAUUAUUUUGUAAUUUUGAAGCAUUAUUGCUCUACUAUAAACAUUACAAAUGCACAUAAAGUUCAAUUUAUAUAUCAAGAUAUAUGAUACUUUGAUUUCCUUAGGUUAUGGUAUUUAAAAAAUCUAUAUUUUAUUGAUCACUUAUAUAAAAUUUCUAAACUUUUGUGUGGGAGAUAUCUAUAAUGACUAAGCACAUUAAUACUCAAUUCUCAUUCUCAACGUAGUUUGACCGGCAAUCGCUCUAUGCGUGCAAUUACCUUUAGAAUAUGACAAGAUAAUUACAAUAUUUAUGUAACGAUAAGUAAAAUGUGCAAGUCAUCAUAGGAGAGAGGAAUAUUUGACGUCUAAAUAAAAGUUUAGGAGUUUAUAAAAUUAACCUAAAAUUAACUUUUAACAUAAUUGAGGUAACUUUAUGCAGAUACAACUAAAACUACUACAAAUUACUUUCAGAUUAGGCAAAGGGCACAAUGAAGAAGAACAAUCAAUUUCUCCUAAACAAUGAUAACGUGAUCCUAUGAUGUAAAACAAGAAGAAGCGAGUGUUAAUGAAACGGGUGCAAAAAAAUGUAAAAAUUUAAGAACAAAAUUUGAAAUUGAUGUAAGAAAGUGCUUACCAUAACCCUUGAUAUUUACAACGAAAAAUAAGGAAAUAAAGGAGAUCACUCUGUAAACAAAUUUAAGAAUUUUAUUCAUUUUUCUCUCUUUUCAAGUAUGAAACACUUAUUUUUAUAUCAAUUUUUUUUAACACUAGAGAAGCAUGAAAGACUUCAUAAAAAUAGUUUU
Molecule: long non-coding RNA, 1817 nt
Filed under: Lathyrus oleraceus (garden pea)
Lineage: Eukaryota; Viridiplantae; Streptophyta; Magnoliopsida; Fabales; Fabaceae
Description: Pisum sativum (pea) long non-coding RNA (PSAT_LNC035220)
Source: RNAcentral